This is a long non-coding RNA of Gossypium raimondii (Peruvian cotton), 1407 nucleotides long. RefSeq lists it as uncharacterized. NCBI's taxonomy places the organism in Eukaryota, Viridiplantae, Streptophyta, Magnoliopsida, Malvales, Malvaceae. The record is from RefSeq and is a predicted model, not a curated record. The transcript is spliced from 2 exons.
UCGUUUCUUACCCACCACAUGUUCAUAUCUUUAACAGCUUUCCUUAUUAUAAAAGGGGCUUCAAAUUCUUCCACAGCCUUUCAAACUCAAAAGAAAAUCUUACAUUACUUGCACAUAACACUCAAGAAGUAGUAUCAGUGAGGUGCUUCUUACCAAUGAGGAGUAUGAAAGGUCGAUCAUGGCAAAGGUGUUCAAAGCAAAUUAGAGAACAGAGGGGACGGCUUUAUAUUAUAUGGAGAUGUACUGUGUUACUCCUUUGUUGGCAUGACUGACUUCCAUUGCAGUUCACUCUUGUACCCACUUCUCAACUACACUGCAAGAUUUAGAUGCUCCUAGUGCUGUGGGUAUUGUGUAGUUUAGAAACUCAGAUCAUGCAAUCACAUUUUCAAUUAGGAGAGAGGGUCUUUUUUUACCCUUAGAUGAAGAAGGGAUUGUCUGGUAGGGUGGUUAACAUGAGUUAGAAAAGAAAAAGUUUAUAAGUUGACAUGUUGCUUGAAUUUUGUAAAUAGAUUUUUAGUUAAUUUUUGUUCCAAAAAGCUUCUCUUUCUUGUAUCACUCAAAAGCAUUUUCUACUGGUUUAUCUCUGCAGCCACAAGUGAUGGAAGCUAAGAUGUUUCGGUAUCGUUAGUUUUGUGACUACAGGAUCCCGGUUCUUGACAAAGUAAGAAGAUGAAAUCCCCACCAGAGACAAUAUCAGAAACAUUGAAGAUCCGAUAAUUUAUCAAUAAAGAGUACUUGAAAAUCUCUCAACAAAAAAUACACAUUUUUUUUUUUGUUAAGGAGAGCCCAACUUUGUUGGGAGAAUUCUGUGAAGUGUAGUCCAUCAAGAGCCAAUGAACUCCUCGACGGUCGAUAUUGUCUUUGUCUCUUAACUCUGUCGAAUGCUUGAAGAGACAUCAGUGGUCGGCUCACAUAGCAAGAGCACUCAUUAGGUGCCUGAUAAGACAAAAAAAAUUUGCGUUGCACAUGGCUAUACUCAUACCCAUUGCCUUCUAGUUUAUAGGGCACAAUUGGGUGAGAAUGCUACCACUCGGGUUAGCCCAAGUAGUAGCAUAGUUCCUAAUAAUGAGUACCGGUUCAAAUUCAACUAAAUACAAAUAUGAGAUUUCCUUGAUGGGUGAGGUAAUCCUGCUUUGUGAAUUCGUUAUUGUCACGUUUUCAAAAAUCUAAGCUCUCAGCAAAGUCGGGAGACAAAACUUUCAUAGAGACAAUAUCGAACAUGUUCGGGUCCGUCAACUCCAAAUGAACAACACUUUGUAGACUUCUCUCUAAAAAGGUCGAACAUUCCUCAGUAAAACUAAUGCUCAAUUUGUUAGGUAAAGGGAAAAAAAUCAAAUUUAUAAAGACUUUGCUUGUAUGAGAUUUUAUAUCUACUGCAAAUGCAUAUAUUUACCUCGACUUUGACAA